AAACAUGUGAAGAGAAUCAAAGGGUGUAAUUUUAAGUUGUUAAGUAGUAAUGAACCAAAUUGUGCUAUAGCCUCAACUUCUACUUCAUCUUCACUAAGCCUAAAGAAAAAGUUGCAACAAGAACACAUUUUUUCAGCUGGGAUUUUCUCAUUCAAGCCUAUAAAAAAACCAAAAUUUUGUGACAAAAAACAUAGUAUUCAUAACCUUAAGAAACAACAUAGUUAUGUGAAAAAUUUGGAACAAUCAAAAUUUUCAAGCAAAAAUAAAGUACCUAAUGAAGUUGAAGAUUUCUUCUUUUUUCCUCCAAACCCUUUUUUUCCACCACCUAUUAUCCCUAAUCCACUUCAACCUCCACCUUUGAUUCCUAACCCUUUGCAACCACCACCUUUGAUUCCAAAUCCAUUUCAACCACCAAGUCCACCCUUGAUUCCUAAUCCAUUUCAACCACCAAGUCCACCACUUAUUCCAAAUCCAUUUCAACCUCCUCCAUCAAAUCCACCACUUAUUCCUAAUCCAUUUCAACCUCCCCCAGCAAGUCCUCCACCACUCAUUCCAAAUCCAUUUCAGCCUCCACCAUCAAGUCCACCACCAUCAUUUCCUUUUCCACCAAUAGUAAUACCAGGUUUAACUCCAUCACCACCGCCGC
RNAcentral lists this long non-coding RNA (646 nucleotides) under Medicago truncatula (barrel medic). RNAcentral describes it as "long non-coding RNA (MTRU_LNC003856)". The record is from RNAcentral. Lineage: Eukaryota; Viridiplantae; Streptophyta; Magnoliopsida; Fabales; Fabaceae.